This 76-nucleotide transfer RNA is filed under the name Euryarchaeota archaeon RBG_16_67_27. RNAcentral's name for it is "tRNA-Met". Lineage: Archaea; Methanobacteriati; Methanobacteriota. The record is from RNAcentral.
GCGGGGUGGGGUAGCCAGGAUAUCCCGUCGGGCUCAUAACCCGGAGAUCGAUGGUUCAAAAGCGGCGGAGGCCGCA